CCUACGGGAGGCAGCAGUGAGGAAUAUUGGUCAAUGGGCGGGAGCCUGAACCAGCCAAGCCGCGUGAGGGACGAAGGUCCUAUGGAUUGUAAACCUCUUUUGUCGGGGAACAAAGACGUCCACGGGUCGGCGGAUGAGUGUACCCGAAGAAAAAGCAUCGGCUAACUCCGUGCCAGCAGCCGCGGUAAUAGGGAGGAUGCGAGCGUUAUCGGGAUUUAUUGGGUUUAAAGGGUGCGGAGGCGGACAGUUAAGUCAGCGGUAAAAAGGCGGGGCUCAACGGCGUACAGCCGUUGAAACUGGCAGUCGUGAGUGGGCGAGAGGUGUGCGGAAGGCGAGGUGUAGCGGGGAAAUGCAUAGAUA
This 360-nucleotide ribosomal RNA is filed under the name uncultured bacterium. RNAcentral describes it as "partial 16S ribosomal RNA". It matches the Rfam family "Bacterial small subunit ribosomal RNA", at positions 338 to 696 of the family's 1533-position model. The record is from RNAcentral.